This 467-nucleotide ribosomal RNA is filed under the name uncultured bacterium. RNAcentral's name for it is "partial 16S ribosomal RNA". It matches the Rfam family "Bacterial small subunit ribosomal RNA", at positions 28 to 506 of the family's 1533-position model. The record is from RNAcentral.
GACGAACGUUGGCGGCGUGCUUAACACAUGCAAGUCGAACGGAAAGGCCCUGCUUUUGUGGGGUGCUCGAGUGGCGAACGGGUGAGUAACACGUGAGUAACCUGCCCUUGACUUUGGGAUAACUUCAGGAAACUGGGGCUAAUACCGGAUAGGAGCUCCUGCUGCAUGGUGGGGGUUGGAAAGUUUCGGCGGUUGGGGAUGGACUCGCGGCUUAUCAGCUUAUUGGUGGGGUAGUGGCUUACCAAGGCUUUGACGGGUAGCCGGCCUGAGAGGGUGACCGGCCACAUUGGGACUGAGAUACGGCCCAGACUCCUACGGGAGGCAGCAGUGGGGAAUAUUGCACAAUGGGCGGAAGCCUGAUGCAGCAACGCCGCGUGCGGGAUGACGGCCUUCGGGUUGUAAACCGCUUUCGCCUGUGACGAAGCGUGAGUGACGGUAAUGGGGAAAGAAGCACCGGCUAACUACGU